GAUGAACGCUGGCGGCGUGCCUAAUACAUGCAAGUCGAGCGAACAGACGAGGAGCUUGCUCCUCUGACGUUAGCGGCGGACGGGUGAGUAACACGUGGAUAACCUACCUAUAAGACUGGGAUAACUUCGGGAAACCGGAGCUAAUACCGGAUAAUAUAUUGAACCGCAUGGUUCAAUAGUGAAAGACGGUUUUGCUGUCACUUAUAGAUGGAUCCGCGCCGCAUUAGCUAGUUGGUAAGGUAACGGCUUACCAAGGCAACGAUGCGUAGCCGACCUGAGAGGGGUCUCGGCCACCCUGGAACGGAGACACGGUCCAAACCCCUACGGGAGGCAGCAGUAGGGAAUUUUCCGCAAUGGGCGAAAGCCUGACGGAGCAACGCCGCGUGAGUGAUGAAGGUCUUCGGAUCGUAAAACUCUUUUAUUAGGGAAAAAAAAAUGUUUAAGUAACUAUGCACGUUUUGACGGUACCUAAUCAGAAAGCCACGGCUAACUACGU
RNAcentral lists this ribosomal RNA (496 nucleotides) under uncultured bacterium. Its description in RNAcentral is "partial 16S ribosomal RNA". It matches the Rfam family "Bacterial small subunit ribosomal RNA", at positions 28 to 506 of the family's 1533-position model. The record is from RNAcentral.